AAUGAAAUGAGUCCACGUCGAACUAAAAAUAUUGCGUCGUGUUAGUUAAAAACGACGUAGUUAAAUGUCACCGCCGUAUUUUUUUUUUGAAAUGGUUUUAUAUGUAAGCAACUUUUCGACUUACAUAUGCACUGUUUCCAAACCCGAUUAAAAAUCUCAAUCUCCCAGAGAAACCUUUUCGUCUUUUUUCCUUGUCAGAGCAUUGUCAGAGUUUCUCAUCGUCU
Molecule: long non-coding RNA, 224 nt
Filed under: Prunus persica (peach)
Lineage: Eukaryota; Viridiplantae; Streptophyta; Magnoliopsida; Rosales; Rosaceae
Description: long non-coding RNA (PPER_LNC006342)
Source: RNAcentral